This 441-nucleotide ribosomal RNA is filed under the name uncultured bacterium. Its description in RNAcentral is "partial 16S ribosomal RNA". It matches the Rfam family "Bacterial small subunit ribosomal RNA", at positions 338 to 795 of the family's 1533-position model. The record is from RNAcentral.
CCUACGGGAGGCAGCAGUGGGGAAUAUUGCACAAUGGGGGAAACCCUGAUGCAGCGACGCCGCGUGAGUGAAGAAGUAUUUCGGUAUGUAAAGCUCUAUCAGCAGGAACGAGACAAGACGGUACCUGACUAAGAAGCCCCGGCUAACUACGUGCCAGCAGCCGCGGUAAUACGUAGGGGGCAAGCGUUAUCCGGAAUCACUGGGUGGAAAGGGAGCGUAGACGGCUGUGCAAGCCUGAAGUGAAAGGCGGGGGCCCAACCCCUGGACUGCUUUGGGAACUGUACGGCUGGAGUGCAGGAGAGGUAAGUGGAAUUCCUAGUGUAGCGGUGAAAUGCGUAGAUAUUAGGAGGAACACCAGUGGCGAAGGCGGCUUACUGGACUGUAACUGACGUUGAGGCUCGAAAGCGUGGGGAGCAAACAGGAUUAGAUACCCUGGUAGUC